GACGAACGCUGGCGGCGUGCUUAACACAUGCAAGUCGAACGGAAAGGCCCUGCUUUUGUGGGGUGCUCGAGUGGCGAACGGGUGAGUAACACGUGAGUAACCUGCCCUUGACUUUGGGAUAACUUCAGGAAACUGGGGCUAAUACCGGAUAGGAUCUCCUGCUGCAUGGUGGGGGUUGGAAAGUUUCGGCGGUUGGGGAUGGACUGGCGGCUUAUCGGCUUGUUGGUGGGGUAGUGGCUUACCAAGGCUUUGACGGGUAGCCGGCCUGAGAGGGUGACCGGCCACAUUGGGACUGAGAGACGGACCAGACUCCUACGGGAGGCAGCAGUGGGGAAUAUUGCACAGUGGGCGGAAGCCUGAUGCAGAAACGCCGGGUGCGGGAUGACGGCCUUCGGGUUGUAAACCGCUUUCGCCUGAGACGAAGCGGGAGUGACGGUAAUGAGUAAAGAAGCACCGGCUAACUACGUG
This 468-nucleotide ribosomal RNA is filed under the name uncultured bacterium. RNAcentral describes it as "partial 16S ribosomal RNA". It matches the Rfam family "Bacterial small subunit ribosomal RNA", at positions 28 to 507 of the family's 1533-position model. The record is from RNAcentral.